AGUGAACGCUGGCGGUAGGCCUAACACAUGCAAGUCGAACGGCAGCACAGUAAGAGCUUGCUCUUACGGGUGGCGAGUGGCGUACGGGUGAGGAAUACAUCGGAAUCUACUUUUUCGUGGGGGAUAACGUAGGGAAACUUACGCUAAUACCGCAUACGACCUACGGGUGAAAGCAGGGGAUCUUCUGACCUUGCGCGAUUGAAUGAGCCGAUGUCGGAUUAACUAGUUGGCGGGGUAAAGGCCCACCAAGGCGACGAUCCGUAGCUGGUCUGAGAGGAUGAUCAGCCACACUGGAACUGAGACACGGUCCAGACUCCUACGGGAGGCAGCAGUGGGGAAUAUUGGACAAUGGGCGCAAGCCUGAUCCAGCAAUACCGCGUGGGUGAAGAAGGCCUUCGGGUUGUAAAGCCCUUUUGUUGGGAAAGAAAAGCAGCAGGUUAAUACCCCGCUGUUCUGACGGUACCCAAAGAAUAAGCACCGGCUAACUUCGUG
This 492-nucleotide ribosomal RNA is filed under the name uncultured bacterium. Its description in RNAcentral is "partial 16S ribosomal RNA". It matches the Rfam family "Bacterial small subunit ribosomal RNA", at positions 29 to 507 of the family's 1533-position model. The record is from RNAcentral.